Molecule: long non-coding RNA, 2005 nt
Organism: Chinchilla lanigera (long-tailed chinchilla)
Lineage: Eukaryota; Metazoa; Chordata; Mammalia; Rodentia; Chinchillidae
Source: Ensembl
UCUGAUUCCUUUGACAUGAAACCCUGAAGGAUCUGCCAGUGGUUUGGAAUACGCUGAAGGGUAGCAGAGUGGCCUCAGGCUUGGCUGGGACCUGAGUGAUUCUCAGGGGCACAACUUGCAGGAAUUCUGCUCUUAGCUGAAGUAAAGUGACAUUGCCUGCUGCUGAAAAGGCUCAUCUGCUUAAUGCUUCUCCAAUAUGUCUUCUGAAAAAGAUUUGCCAACAGGAUCCUUGUCUUCUCAUCCUGCCAGAACAACUUCUGAACAUUCCACACAGACCUUGUCAUCAGAGGGAGAGGAUACUGAUGUGGAGCUAGACGAGAAGAAUCUUCAGGAUGAAGUUCCAUUCAGCAGAGAGCAAGAGUCUCUGGAGGAGAAGGAAUAUUCAGAGGAGGAAGAGUUUCUGGAAGAGGAAGAUUAUCCAGAGGAGGAAGAGUUUCUGGAGGAGGAAGAAUAUCCAGAGGAGGAAGAGUCUCUGGAGAGAUAUAAGUUUCUGGAGGGAGAAUAUCAUCUGAAAGGAAAAGAUCUUUUUAAAGAAGAGGACCUGGAGGAGGAAAUGCAUGUGGCAGAAAAAGAGUAUCCUUUCAAACAGUAUCUGGAACCAAUAGAAUUUGAGGAGCCUGAUUCAACAGCAAUUGUGACUAAUCUUGAUGCAAGGAGCUCAACUGCCAGUACUUUUCAGGAGAGUGGUUUUAUUACCAUCCCAUCUAUCUUCACUACCCCUGCUCCUGCCUCUGAGACUGCCAUCGAGUCUGCCAUGGAGUCGACUUCCUGCUGCCUGAUGGUUCCUACACCUUCCCUAAGACACCAGGCUAGUCAGACAGAAUGGACCUAUGAGGGAACAUCCUCAAAAUUGAAACCAAAAACAGAGCCAAGAAUCUCAUUACUGUCCACUAUGAAGUCUGAUUUGGAAGAUGACGCUGAAAUGGAGGAAGAUGGAGAUGAUGCCAUGGAUAUUUACAAAAAAACCUUUUGGGAUUCCCUACUGACGGAGCAGGAAAUUGACAAAGAGGAAGUCAAGAAAUUUCAUGAGAAUAGCAGGACUGAAGCACUACAGCUGGGAUGUGAAGGCAACCACUCAUGCAAGCCAAUUAUGAAGCACGUUUUGAAACUCUGGACGCACGUAGUACUGCUGUAGGGCCCAACUGACAAAGUAUGACACAAAAUAGAAUCCUUUCCCUCUGACUUCCAUGCCACUCUGACCCUCAAGAAGUGGACACUCAGGGUACUGAGGCAGCCCCUGAGGCAGAGACUCCAGAAUUCUCAGGCAUGACCAGAAAGAGAUACCUGACGCAGGCUACUUAAGAAAUAAAAGGAGGUUCAUUUUGGUUCAUCACCCUGGAGUUUUAACUCCAAGAUCCCAGCUUUGUUGGUUUGGGCUCCAGCAAAAGCAGCACAUCAUGGCAGGAUGGCAUGUCAGAGUGGGCAGCCACAUCUUGAGGCAGGAAGCAAAAAGAGAGAGGGGAAGAGAUAGGCUCCCGUCAUCCUCUUAGAGAGCACUCCUCCAGUGACCUAAAGACCUUCUACCAAGCCCUGUCUCACCUUUGCUGCAACCACGAGACACAGCAAGCCCUCAACACAUGGACCUGUGGAGGACGUGCACACCCAAACCACAGCAGAUAGUAGUGUGGCCGCUCCAAGCAACCUGGUCACUGCAGAUGCAGCCCGGCAGAGCCACAGCAGGAGAAAGAGAACGCGAUGAAUGCCACAUUGUACCUGCAGCCGCAACACUUGUUUGCAUAAAUUGCUGAGGCACCUUUUGUGGCAAUACCAGAAAGCUGUAGGGUACAAACUAGGAAGAGGGACCUAAAGCCUUUCUAUUUGCAGGUGGCUUUCAAGAUAUACUUUGCUAUUUUGAUAACUCGAUUCAUUGGCUGUCUUUAGUUCACUGUCACACCCAUUUUUAUUCCUGUGAUACACUCAUGUAUCACAAGCCUCACUGUGCAUGCAAAUUCCUUUGGCUGCAGCAGUCAGUGCUUCCCCUGAGAGGGAUCUCUGAGCAUGGGAG